UACGUAAGGACCGAGCGUUGUCCGGAAUCAUUGGGCGUAAAGGGUACGUAGGCGGCUAGAAAAGUUAGCAGUGAAAGGCUAUAGCUCAACUAUAGUAGGCGGUUAAAACUGUUUAACUUGAGAGAUGGAAGGGAAAGUGGAAUUCCCAGUGUAGCGGUGAAAUGCGCAGAUAUUAGGAGGAAUACCAGUGGCGAAGGCGACUUUCUGGGCAUUAUCUGACGCUGAUGGACGAAAGCGAGGGGAGCAAACAGG
Molecule: ribosomal RNA, 252 nt
Filed under: uncultured bacterium
Lineage: Bacteria
Description: partial 16S ribosomal RNA
Rfam family: Bacterial small subunit ribosomal RNA
Source: RNAcentral